RNAcentral lists this ribosomal RNA (411 nucleotides) under uncultured bacterium. RNAcentral describes it as "bacterial SSU rRNA". It matches the Rfam family "Bacterial small subunit ribosomal RNA", at positions 370 to 772 of the family's 1533-position model. The record is from RNAcentral.
AAUGGGCGCAAGCCUGAUCCAGCAAUGCCGCGUGCAGGAAGAAGGCCUUCGGGUUGUAAACUGCUUUUGUCAGGGAAGAAAUCCUCUAGGUUAAUACCCUUGGGGGGAUGACGGUACCUGAAGAAUAAGCACCGGCUAACUACGUGCCAGCAGCCGCGGUAAUACGUAGGGUGCAAGCGUUAAUCGGAAUUACUGGGCGUAAAGCGUGCGCAGGCGGCUUUGCAAGACAGAUGUGAAAUCCCCGGGCUCAACCUGGGAACUGCAUUUGUGACUGCAAGGCUAGAGUACGGUAGAGGGGGAUGGAAUUCCGCGUGUAGCAGUGAAAUGCGUAGAUAUGCGGAGGAACACCAAUGGCGAAGGCAAUCCCCUGGACCUGUACUGACGCUCAUGCACGAAAGCGUGGGGAGCAAA